UUAUCAAUUUUUGAGAAAAAAAUAACACAUUUUCUCCCUGGUGUCAGGCUAGGACCACGUGUUCAGUAUAGCCCGACUUGGUAAAGAUGGGCGAUUCAUACCUUAUUGUUAUUAAUUUGAACAUAAAUAGUACAUAAGUGUUUUUAUCUGAAAUCAAAUUUGUUGUUGUGAUAGCCUCUGUCAGUUGUUAUUUCUGUAUGUACCCUGAAGUGUGCAUUGAGAGGGGGGGUGUUGAUAAUUUGUGAUUGCAAAUUAUAUAGUUAGAACUCUUAAAGGUAAUUUAUGGUAUCUGUCAAUGUAGAUUUUAAUUAUCAAGGAUACAUAUAUUCAUUAUUAAGAUAUAUUUUAUGUUGCUAGUAAAUGUCCUUUUUUGUUUUUUGGAUGAGUGUUCAAACUAUAACUCAAGACUUUUGAUGAUUGAUACCAUACAAACAUGAUACCAAAAUAUUUUGUAAAUGUUUCUACGACAUCAUACAGGGCUUGAAAUAUUUGAUGGCCCGAUGGACUACAAGCAGUAAAUUAUGGAUUUUGGCUAGUGCUUUGUGAAGAACAUGUGCCCUUGAGGCUAGUUAAUUUAAACACUUAUCAAAAUGCCUCAACAGUAUUGGGCUAGUAAGUGUUAGAUGUGGGUGCAUCCAGGUGUUUAUCGCAUGCGAAAUGAUUUCUUUAAUUCCCUAUUGUUAAGUUCAGGGUUUGACACUGAACAGGUUGGGAACACUUCCCCUACAACAAGAUAUCUCACGAAAACGCGAUUAUCCCUCUCUAGCGAGAGUAGGCCUAAAUAUAUCCCGUACAACCGAGAAAAACACCUGUGGGUGCAUCUCUUCGUGUUUCACCUCAAAAGAAGAAAAACUGCUUACAGCUAAAAUGUCAAGGGGUCGAAAUUAACUUUUUCUACCACAGGCUAAUUUUAGCCUGUGGUUAAAAAAUCCACAGGCUAAAAUGAAAAUUUCCCACUAGCUAAAAUAAGAAUAAUGAAGCAGUGCUCUUUUUUCAUAUGUUUUUUUUUUAAAUCAACAAUUUUCCCCAUCGUUACUGAGCCUAGUGGGUCAACUACACAAGGACACUUAAGUUACAUAAGUCAUGUGGUGCAAUGUUUAAGUCUCUUGAUUAUCGCACAUUUAAUCGAUAACCUGUUUACUGCAGGUCUAGGUCCAGUCUUUCAAUUUCAUGUCACAUCAGGGUUGUCACUGAUGAUUUUUCAAAGCGAAUCCCGGACUCAUGGUUUUAUAAGCAGCACGAUCACGAGCCCCAUGAAUUUUUUUGAUAAUCACCUACGCAGUGAGCAGUGCACUCGUGUCAUCACUACAACCCGACCUCAAUAUGACAAUAAAUUAAUUUAGAUAGGCAAUUCUCAUGAUUCUGAAAAAAAAAAAGGACUACCGGAAGACUUUGUAAAACAUAGAGCCAGAUUUUUUUUUUUUUUUUUUUUUGGUAAAUGAAUAACAAAAACCUCAUACUUGGAAUUCAUUUUAAUCACCCCUAUAGGUGAACAGGACUCUUGGCACAUGUCUAUAUUUUUCGUCAUAAUGCAAUGUCCGACCUCUGAAGCAUUUGUUUGAAUCUUGAGUUUCUUUAAAAAAUCAUAAAAGAAAAAUCUGGAUAGAAACGGUUGUUGAAAUCAGUCGUUCAUGUAAGCGUUUGUAUGAUUCAGAGUGCAAGUUUUAAGAAAAGCGAAUAGCGCAUCACCAUAUAAAACGGAUACGAUACGAUCAUAGCUUGUAAAUCACCACUCGCUAAGAUUUUCGGAUGUCCACUAUUUUUACUCGCUAUUUUUCAAAUGUACUCGCAGUUUGCGAGUAUUUCUCGCUAAUUUCGAGCCCUGAAAUUUGCCUGAUUCUUAUGCAAAUAUGUUAAUGGAAAAAAAACACUCAUAAUGUGCAUUGGAUUUCAGACUGCUUCCCUCCAGGGUUGGACGGUUAAAACCGCCCCCGGCUUUAACCAGCGGUUUUAACCAUCCUGGUCAAUACUCCCUAAGUGGUCAAUACUGGUCAAUUGAGAUUUAAACUGUCCAUUUUCCUAUUUUUGUACAUAUUUUGCAAAGAUAAUUAAGUCUUUUCAUUAUAAUAUAUGGAUCAAUUGGUUAUCAAUAAUUUUUAUUAGAUAAUUAGAUGUAAUUUCAUAAGUUUAAUAUAUUUGUUUUGCUGAAACUGUGAUCAUAAUAUCUUUAGAACUAUAAAAGAGGGUCACAUAUAGCAUAACUAGACAAUAGGAUGCAAGGUGAAGAUAACGAACAGCGAUCAAUCUCAUAACUCCUACAAGCAAUACAAAAUAGAUAGUUGGGCAAACACGGACCCCUGGACACACCAGAGGUGGGAUCAGGUGCCUAGGAGGAGCAAGCAUCCCCUGUUGACCGGUCACACCCGCCGUGAGCCCCAUAUCCUGAUCAGGUAAACGGAGUUAUCCGUAGUCAAAUCAGUGUGCCAAAAACGGCUUAACAAUCGGUAUGAAACACGUCAGACAGCAUUUGACCCACUGCGAGGUUGUAUUGACGAACUAGAUCGUUAUAACGACCAUAGAAUUUGCGAAAUGCUGACUUCAAUCGAGACUGUUGAAAUCCCUGUACCAUCAACUUGUUUGUCAGUAGCUUACUUCGAUUUAAAAACUGACUAUACCCAGAACAAGCUCUUGCAUAUCGAAUCAGUUGAGAUAUAUAAACACCAUAUGCAGGUGAUAAUGGAUUAUUGCUACAUAAAUGUGGGAAAUUGACGAUGGAGAAACUGAAAUCAUCCCGUUUGUCAUACAGUUGAGUUGUCAGUUUGCCGUUAAUGUCUACUUUCAAUAAAAUAUCUAAGUAUGAAGCAGAAGUGGACGACUCUGUGGUGUCCUUUAUUUCGAGCUCACAGGGAUAUACAGGGUUCGAAAUUAACUCAUGUCCAUAAGUCCGAGACUAGUAAAAAACGUGUCGGACUAGUGACCUCUAUAUAGCACUAGUCCGUACGGACUAGUGAAAAUCCGGAAAUCAAUCUUCAAUUGGUAAAGAUUUUUAGGAAGAUUUGUCUGAGUCUCUUAGAUGUUUGAACUUAUGGUUGAUUACCUGCAUGGUCAAGUGUUUGCAUGACUAUGACAUCCUGAUCUUCCAAACACAUGGAGUGCGUUCGAGACUGCCGUUCUUCGAACGUGCACAAAUUGUCAAAUUCCUGCCGAUUCCGAACGCCGAGUACACAUCACGAGAAUGUGUUCUAGGUGUAAGAAUUGCAAGUAGUCUGGUCUGAGAAGAUGCACGUUUGUGCGCACAUGUUCUCGUCAUUCGCGACUCUAACACAGUAGUUCAUAACACUAUAGCUUAUGACUUGGUCAAUCGAGUGAAUUUUAUUGACUUUAUUGAUAAAAUUUCGAACUCCUGUGACUCUAAAAUCUGAGCACCAAACCAACAGGAACAUCGAUCUCGAACGCACUUAUGGACGUUUAUAAAAGGAUUAACUCGGAGGUUAAUAUUGUAUGCUUCUGAAGAUUUUGAAUGCGAAAUAAAAUAUGGUGGUCUCUUUUUCUUCUGUAGGUGUCAGAAAUUGAAUUGUUUGCAACUGUGAUGUGUUUGGUUUGAUUAAAAUGAAGAUCAUUUUAUGAUAUACUGGACGGACUAGUGAAAUGCUUUGCGGACUAGUGAACAUCAACAGUGACUAGUCCGUACGGACUAGUGCUUGAAAAAGUUAAUUUCGAACCCUGAUAUAUCAAAUCGACAUAUGAUCUGCUUAUAAAUGCACCUGGACAGAUUAAGAAUAACAGGUAGCUGGACAUUAAAUACACACAGUGAUUUAAUAUGAAUUGGGUGACAGAUGCUGUAGAUAAACAAUGUGUUGCAAUGUACAGAGCAGAUGUACCUGAGCACAGGAAACAGAGUUGACAGGUGUUAAUUAGCAUACUCUGGGACCAAAGAGGACCAGUGUACAUGUUAUUGUUAGGAAAACAUCAACAACACACCCCCUCAAAUGUUUAUUUAACAGUUAGAUGAAGAUUUGAAACAAUAGGUAGUUCUUGAUAAACUAAAGAAUUUGAACAGAAAUAGAAAACACUUCCCCCAUCAUACUAUAUAUGGCUUCAACAAAACAUAGUUUAGGAAAUACCACAAUUUUACUCUCACAUUCACUUCUUGACCUGCUAAGAGACACAAUCAUGAAGCCAAGAGAUCCUAUUUGGAAUUUCUAUGAUAUUGUUGAGGACAACAAGACCACAGCAAGAUGUAAAGACUGCAAUGCUGUUGUCGGUGCCAAAGUAAUACGGCUACAAUUUGUUUAAUUUUUACAAUAAACUUUUACAUCUUCCCAAAUUUAACAGAGUCAUUUACAUUAUUUAUUUAAUAUUAUGACUUGCAAGUAUAUUAUAAACUGAUAGUGCAUGUUAUGAAUUAGUUAUUACAGUAUUUACCAUAAUGGCCACUGAAACAUUUAAAAUAACCAACAACACAGACUAUAAUGACCAAACAAUUUUCAAUCAACCAGUAUUGACCACUAUUGACCAGUAUUGACCGGUUUUAACCAGUAUUGACCACCGGCCUGGUCAAUAUUCAUAUUGACCACUUUUUUUGCCAACCCUGCUUCCCUCUUAUGCAGCAACUUUGAUAUGCAAUUUAUUGACCGUGUUAUCGGUUUUAUAGAGACUAUUCAUAUCAUGUUGAGUGUGAAUCGCACUUAUUCAGCAUUGCACGAAAUUGUUAUUAUUUUAAAUAAAGACGUCAAAACACCAGUUUAUGGUAAUGUUUACUUUCUCGCUAAAGAGAGAUAAUCAUGUUUUAGCGAGAAUAUCUUGCUAUAGGGGAAGUGUUCCCAACCUGCUAAAGGCACGCCCGACCUACCAAAUCUACUAAAUGAGUACAAAUCUUUGUUGAUACAUACGCGAUGUAAUGCAAAUAGUUCUUAAUCUCUAUUCAUUGAAAUUUCGGCAAAUUUAAUAUGGGAAAUAUUGUGCAUAGCAAAAUGGUUGGUUUAAACAAAGUAUUAUUUAUUGUGUUCUGGCAUUUAAAAGUAGUGUUACCUAAUUGCAAUAAUAUUUUCUUUAUCAUUUGGUUUAGAGACAACAUGAAUGAACAUGGAAAUGUUAUGUACAUUGUUUAACCUAUACCCAGAGUUAUCGUACCUUACACUCACAUUAGCAGUGUUACACAUUCAACAGAAUUCUGUCAAAAAUAUAUCUGAAAUUAAUUAACAAAUUCUAUAUUUGUUUUGUUUAAAUAAAUAAAUAGCGAACAAGUUAACAUCAUUUAUAUACGCACAUGGUACAUUUUUGUGCGAAUACUUCAUGAUAUUUACAUUUGCUAAUGCACUUCCUUAUAUGACAGUACUAAUGAAAUCGAUAUUCAAUUUUGUGUGACAUGAAUUUGGUCAGGUGAUCAGUUUGUUCUUGCCUAUGAAUACAAUCACCGCUUCAAAAGCCUCUGUACUUUCACCUGCCUUCUUGCUUAUGCAAUGCAGUGGGGGAUUUAGACACCCCCUCUUGCCAUAAAUUUAUAAAUAAUAGAAAUAGUGUGAGUAAAAUGACAGAUUGGCACCCAAAAUGGCUUAGUAUUUUGUCUAAUACUUUACUUUCACUCACACCCUUUCGUAAAUAUUAAAUUGAAAGUAAAUAGAUAUUUAAAAAGAACAGGCAGUCCUUUACCAAAAUUAUAAAUUUAAUUAUUCUAGGGGUAGGGGUUUUGGUAUCAGGAUGGGACCAAAAUGGUCAGUUAUUAAAUGUGUGAAGAACAAUAGACAUUUUAAACUUCUUGAUAACUAUCAUUCCAAUUCUUUUCAAAUUUGGUAUGAAACAUAUUUGGAACAAGGGGAACAUAAAUUGUAGAUUUCAGGAUUCCUGCACCCCUGGGGCCUUCGAUUGCGUCACAAACAAAAGUGUAUUUCACUUUUUAAAUGUCCUGAAAAAAUGUUUGUAAAUUUAUUUGUGAUAGAAAUCUUGUAUUUAAUUUAACUAUUAUUUAUAUAAUAUUUAUUGUUUUUGUUUUAUAUCAGAAUGAUGGAGGAAAGAAGUAACAUGGUGAAAUAAGUUGGAUAUUGUCUUCAUUUAUUGAAGCUCCCAGCUGAAAAGACACAUAUAAGAACAAUCACAUAGAAUAACUCUCCAUGUUUUUUGCUGAUUGCAGUCUGCACUUUAGCCAAGGCUGUAUCAUAAGCUUUCUUGAAAGAUCUGUCAUUUUUCAAAAGACGACGAUAUUUUAUGAAAUCCACCACAACAGGAUCAUCAACUGGUAACAACGCUUUCGCAGCGCUGACUGUAGAUUCUGUAUCUACAGGAAAGGUCUGCAUUAUUUUCCUGAGGUGGAAGUGACAUGAUGCAGCCAGUACUAGGAUUUGCUCCAAUAUCUAUUGUUACAAGUGAAGAUAACGAACAGCGAUCAAUCUCAUAACUCCUACAAGCAAUACAAAAUAGAUAGUUGGGCAAACACGGACCCCUGGACACACCAGAGGUGGGAUCAGGUGCCUAGGAGGAGUAAGCAUCCCCUGUUGACCGGUCACACCCGCGGUGAGCCCCAUAUCCUGAUCAGAUGAACGGAUUUAUCCGCAGUCAAAAUCAGUGUGCCAAGAACGGCUCCUAGGAGGAGUAAGCAUCCCCUGUUGACCGGUCACACCCGCCGUGAGCCCCAUAUCCUGAUCAGAAUUGUUGAAAGCACUACGAGCAACAACAUUUACAACACCAGCUCCCAAAAUAUUACAACGCUAAUGAACAGAAUAAAGAACAACUACUUUGGGCCGUUUGAUUUCAUCUUGAUUCUGUUUGUCGUUGAGAACCUUACACUGCUUGGAUUUCUUAUAUACAAAAUUUACAUCAGAAGGAAAUCUCGGGAACAUGGAAAAUUCGUUUGGAGUGUGUCCGGUUAUGAGUUAUAAGAGAACAACACGCCGCUUCGACAGGAACAUAUUCACCAAAACUAAAUAAAGAUGCUGCUUAUCCAGAACCAAAGAUUGAUAGCCGCAAUCAAGACUAGACCCAGAUAGUAUGUCAACUGUAUGUAUAGUAGGUGCAGAGAAUUGAAGAAGAUAGAGUGUACACUGUAUUAUUCCAAGAGACCAUUUAGACAGAGAUCGCCUCCAAAAAAUGUAUUUACCGAAUGCACCAAAUCGACAUGCCAGAGAACAACCCAUCAGGCAACAUGAUGGUUACAGAAUGAACGACUCUAAGCUGUUGCGGCCGCAGAGACUUGGACUAAACUUUGAUUACAUGUCAGAAUUUUAUGUGUAAUAAAAUACUAGUUAAUUUUGAGUGUGGUAGAAUAAUUACUAAACUAACAAAAAUGGACAUUCAGAAUACUCGUCAUCUGACCAAUAAGAUCAAAUUAGUUGUUGUCACCAUUUGGCGUCUGUUGUCCGCUAACUAAAUUCCACAUGAGAACCACUGAAUGACGAUUAACCAAACGUGGAAGAGUUCUUCCAGAAUUGCUGUUUCCCUAAAUCAGAUUCGUUAAGAUAUUGCUAUAAAUCAAUACAAACGUUUUCUCUCUAAACUUCUAUUAAGAAAGGUACCUGCAAUUUGAUACCGGUUUUUCCCAUGCAAAGAAAUAACAGUCCGUAAAACAAUAUGUUGACACAAGCAUCACUCGAAACAUCCGUGUAUACAAAGUGAAAUUGCUUCCCUACUGUAAAGUUUGCUUUGAAAUGUUUUAGAAGAAAUCUUAAGAAGGGACCACUCUCAGACUGUUAAAUGCUGAUAAAUCUGAACGGAAGUAGGUAUAACCAGAAUCCAUACUCAAGUAAUCUCUCUUUAAUGUUAAAUACCAAACAAAAACAACAAAAGCAAAACACGUAAGUAACCGCUGUCAAUAAAGCUAUGUUGAAUUUUCAUAUGCAAAGUCAGUUUCCCCUUUUGUUGGUAAACUUUGUCGCAUCCUUUAUAUUCACACCUGUGCUGAGUUCUUUCAAUCUGUAAAAUACAAAAUGUGUAUGUUGUAUUGGGAUGGAAAUGAAAAUACUCAAUGAAUCUUUGCAUAGGAAUAGCUGAAGUUAGGGGUAAAAAAAACUUUAGUAUCGUAUUAGUACUUGUAUUUUUGCAUGUAUUUUUUCUGCUCAGGUAGAAAAUGGGUCUAAGAAGCAAUUGACAAACUGUGUUCUCCGCACACAAAAGGUUUGCUUAGUAAACACACAACGCAGUGUUACAUGAAAUACUACUUGGUUUUCAAAUCUUUCCGGUAUCGAGUAAUAUAAACUUAAUCCUAGUCGCAUGACGGUUGGUUUAUUGAUAAACCAGAUCAUUGAAAAUAGCUCGACACUACACGUUGCUUCCCUUUUCUAAUAACAAAAGAUGCAGCGGGUAUUAUUAACCAACUUUUCCUCUAAAUCAUAUCCAAUUCUUUAAAUCAUAACUUAUCCCCUAAAGCAUUACCUGACCCGUUUGGAUAGAAAUUUUGGCAAAAUACAAACACCAACAUCAAAAACUUAGAAUAUUUUAAUUUCAACUUGCACAACUCGUCCCUAGAGUGGUCAACUUAUUUCGACUGGUUAGCUGAUUGAGCCAAUAUUGACCCUGACAAUCGAGAAUCGUGAGAAAUAUUCAAAAUUCCACCCCUUUUUCCUCUCGGAAAAUCAUCUCAUGUCGUCUUGCCACUUUAGAUAUGGGUAAUUGUGGUUAUUUCGUGUACUUUAAUCAUUUCUACAGCUGAUUACAUUCCCCGAUUUUCGUCAACAGUGGUUCAAUUAUUAUAAACAAGAAAAACUCAGAUCUACCUACCUGUCGAAGCGGCGUGUUGUUCUCUUUUAACUCAUAACCGGACACACUCCAAACGAAUUUUCUUGCAUAAACGUUAGAUUAUGAUUUAGGACAUGGG
Long non-coding RNA from Ostrea edulis (European flat oyster), 8746 nucleotides. RefSeq lists it as uncharacterized. The transcript is spliced from 8 exons. NCBI's taxonomy places the organism in Eukaryota, Metazoa, Mollusca, Bivalvia, Ostreida, Ostreidae. The record is from RefSeq and is a predicted model, not a curated record.